AACGAACGCUGGCGGCAUGCCUAACACAUGCAAGUCGAACGAGAUCUUCGGGUCUAGUGGCGCACGGGUGCGUAACGCGUGGGAAUCUGCCCUUUGGUUCGGAAUAACAGUUGGAAACGACUGCUAAUACCGGAUGAUGACGAAAGUCCAAAGAUUAUCGCCAGAGGAUGAGCCCGCGUAGGAUUAGCUAGUUGGUGUGGUAAAGGCGCACCAAGGCGACGAUCCUUAGCUGGUCUGAGAGGAUGAUCAGCCACACUGGGACUGAGACACGGCCCAGACUCCUACGGGAGGCAGCAGUGGGGAAUAUUGGACAAUGGGCGAAAGCCUAAUCCAGCAAUGCCGCGUGAGUGAUGAAGGCCUUAGGGUUGUAAAGCUCUUUUACCCGGGAUGAUAAUGACAGUACCGGGAGAAUAAGCUCCGGCUAACUCCGUGCCAGCAGCCGCAGUAA
This 448-nucleotide ribosomal RNA is filed under the name uncultured bacterium. Its description in RNAcentral is "partial 16S ribosomal RNA". It matches the Rfam family "Bacterial small subunit ribosomal RNA", at positions 29 to 523 of the family's 1533-position model. The record is from RNAcentral.